RNAcentral lists this ribosomal RNA (392 nucleotides) under uncultured bacterium. Its description in RNAcentral is "partial 16S ribosomal RNA". It matches the Rfam family "Bacterial small subunit ribosomal RNA", at positions 523 to 918 of the family's 1533-position model. The record is from RNAcentral.
AUACGGAGGAUCCGAGCGUUAUCCGGAUUUAUUGGGUUUAAAGGGUGCGCAGGCGGCCAUUUAAGUCAGCGGUUAAAUCGUGGGGCUCAACCCCAUUCUGCCGUUGAUACUGGGUGGCUUGAUUGCGGUCGAGGUUGGCGGAAUUCGUUGUGUAGCGGUGAAAUGCAUAGAUAUGACGAAGAACACCGAUUGCGUAGGCAGCUGGCCAGACCGCAAAUGACGCUCAUGCACGAAAGUGCGGGGAACGAACAGGAUUAGAUACCCUGGUAGUCCGCACAGUAAACGAUGAAUACUUGUUUUCGGCGAUAUAAUGUCGGAGGCAAAGCGAAAGCGAUAAGUAUUCCACCUGGGGAGUACGCCGGCAACGGUGAAACUCAAAGGAAUUGACGGGG